AGAAACCUCUUUUGCUUUGAUAUUUGAUUAAUCUCCAAAAAAAAAAACUAGCCUCUCCAAAAACUAGCCUUUACAAUAACUCUUCUCCUUGAUUACUCUAAAAAAACCUCUCAAAAAUCCUUUACAAUAACUUUCUCCCCCAAAACUUCUUCCUCCCCUAAAUACAAAAUAUGAGAAGGCUUAUAUAGCCAUUUACCAAAUAUUUUUUAUUGUUUAUGUCUUCAUUUGUAGGUGCAAGUGGUGGUGGAGCAAGUGUGGCUAGUGGAGUAGGUGGUGGAGCAAGUGUGGCUAGUGGAGUUGGUGGUGGCAAAGGCAAGGAUUUAGUUAAGAAAAGUUUAGGUUGUGGGCUAGGGUUUUGAUGUAAAUUGGGCUUUGGGUAGUUAAGAUUUUGGGUUUAGGGUUUAAUUUUGGUGGGUUAGGUAAGGUUAAAUUGGGUUUUGAUGUAAAUGGGUUAAAAUUGGCCUACAACAGCUGCCCCUCUUUGCUUUUUAUCGUGUAACGGGAAUAAAGCAAAGACACAAAGAAAGGUCAAUUUUGCUUGGUCUUGCUAAGUAUGGACUUCUUUGGUGCUCUUCUCAUCCAGGUAGUCUCUUUCCAAACCAUUGUAUCUUGUCUUGAUCAAAUCCACUGCAUUUUCUGAUAUAUGUCUUGUAGCUUCGAUUUACUCCAAGGUGACUUCAAAAAGAUAAGAUCUACAGCUUCAAUCGACUCUUCCAUCGCUUUAGUCAGAUAAAAUUUGUGGUCUUCUCUUCUGCAACUUUUAGAAAGGUAAGAUCUGAUAUCAUCGAUCAGCUCCACUGCAACUUCAAUUAGCUUCACUGUAACUUCAAGGAUAUAAAAUCUGUGUCUUCGAUUAAUUCCAGUCUUUAUUCUUUACUCGGCAUGUGAUCCUGAGCUUAACUCAUUUCUCGCAAUAUGAAUUGACUCUUUAAAACUAAACAUUAAAAACAGAAAUUGAAAAUAGCUCAGCACGUGAGCCAAGGCUCAACUCACUUUUCGCAAUAUGAGUUGAUUUUUAAUACAUCGGUAUGUGACCCGAGGCUCAACUCACCUCUCAUAAUAUGAGUUGAUUUUUGCAAAGCAUAAAUUGAAAAAAAAAAUAAAAAUAAAAAUCAAUUGAAAAUACCUCGGUGUGUGAUCUGAGGCUCAACUCACCUCUCGCAAUAUGAGUUGAUUUUUUUAACAAAAUAAAUUGAAAAGAAAUUAAAAAUAUCUCAGCGUGUCCUGAGGUUGAACUCAGCUCUCGCAAUAUGAGUUGAUUUUUUGAAAAAACAAAAUUUGAAAAUACCUCAGCGUGUGAGUCAAGACUCAACUCACCACUCGCAAUAUGAGCUAAUUUUUUUUUGAAACACAGAAAUGGAAAACACAUCAGCAUCUUGAGGUUCAACUCACCUCUCGCAAUAUGAGCUAAUUUUUUUUGAAAGACAGAAAUUGAAAAUACCUCAACAUGUCUUGAGGCUCAACUCACCUCUCGCAAUAUGAGUUAAUUUUUGACAAACAAAAAUUGAAAUUACCUCAGCGUCUUGAGGUUCAACUCACCUAUCGCAAUAUGAGUUGAUUUUUUUGAAAAACAGAAAUUGAAAACACCUCAACGUAUCUUGAGGUUCAACUAACCUCUCGCAAUAUGAGCUGAUUUCUUUUAAAGAUAGAAAUUGAAAAUACCUCAACGUGUCUUGAGGCUCAACUCACCUCUCGCAAUAUGAGUUGAUUUUUGACAAACAAAAAUUGAAAUUACCUCAGUGUGUCCUGAGGCUCAAGUUAAUUUUUUUGAAAAACAGAAAUUGAAAAUACCUCAACGUGACUUGAGGUUCAACUCACCUCUUGCAAUAUGAGUUGAGUUUUGACAAACAAAAAUUGAAAUUACCUCAGCGUGUCCUGAGGCUCAACUCACUUCUCGCAAUAUGAGUUGAUUUUUUUAGAAACAUAAAUUUAAAAAACGAAAAUUGAAAAUACCUCAACGUGUCCUGAGGCUCAACUCACCUCUUGCAAUAUGAGUUGAUUUGAAAAGCAGAAUUUGUAAGGCAAAAAUUGAAAAACAGAAAUUGAAAAUACCUCAACGUGCCCUGAGGCUCAACUCACUUCUUGCAAUAUGAGUUGAUUUUUGAAAAACAGAAAUUAAAAACAGAAAUUGAAAAAUAGAAAUUAAAAAUACCUCGACGUGCCCCGAGGCUCAGCUCACCUCUCGCAAUAUGAGUUGAUUUUUGAAAAGCAUAAAUUGAAAAAACAGAAAUUGAAAAUACCUCAGCGUGUGACAUGAGGCCCAACUCACCUCUCGCAAUAUGAGUUGAUUUUUUUGAAAGAUAGAAAUAAAAACAUCAAAACACCAAAAGAUGUCAUCUGGUGAAACUCGGUGUCCUUUCCUUUGAUUCAGUACAGCUAUCAUCGAAAUCUCUUGUUCUGCUGAAAUACAUGUAUAUGUCAUGCAUGAUGUUAUCAUGAAAUGCACAUGUUUGCCUUAAAUGCCUUUAUGAUCAUGCUAUGUGCCUUGGGCUUGCUUGCCAUAUGUCCUUUUCCGUCAUGAUUUUUGAUGAUCUGCGUUCAUUGCUUUGACUCUUGACUUUCUCUUCAGGCCUUGUACCCAUCCUCUAGCUUCACGACUAAUCUGUGUUUCUCAGAUAUCGUUCUUUUGCCCCUAGUUGAACUUUGUCCUUGCUUUGAGGCUCUUGUACUUAUCAAAUUCUUGUCCGAGUAAUGCUUAGCACUUCUUUUGUUUAGAAUAUGUCAUUUCACUAUUUAUCAUGUAAAUGAACCACAUAAUGAGAUGCAUGAAAAUGGUCAAGUAGGGACAAAAGAAUACCUCACAUUUAUUCAUUUCAAAUGUAGCAAACAAAGAAAGUUAAUCAAUGAUAGUAAAAAAAAGUGUCAUAAAGAGAAAGGGGAUCGUAUUUCAAAAAAUACAAAUGCUCUAGAUAUUCAACGCAUGAACUCUUCCACGUUCCUCAAUCAAGAAUCUUUUCAAGCAUGGCUUUCUUGCGUAAGAGAUUUCGAGUUUUCAGAAAUGCUUCAAAUACUAUAGUCUCUCUGUUUGACCCACCGUUCAAAACGCCUUACUUUUUAAGCCAGUGCUUGCUUCAUUAGAACGCCCUUUAGGGUUUUCAUCCGAAUCUUUUGUGUUAAUUAAGAUGUCCUUUUCGUGUUUUCACCUUGAUCACUCUCUCUUUUUCUUUUUUCUUUUCUUUUUUUUAAGAUGCCCUUUUUCGGGUUUUCAUCUUGAUUUUCCUUUUUUAAGCAUAAUAUUUCUUCACAGCAUCUGAAUUCACUAGAUUCGGUAACUCCUUCCCAUUUAUCUCAGUGAGAAUCAAAGCUCCGCUCGAGAAUGCCUUCUUUACGACAUAUGGUCCUUCCCAAUUUGGUGCCCAUUUUCCUCGUAAGUCCUUCUGUAUUGGAAGAAUCUUUCUCAGCACGAGUUCUCCUUCGUGGAAUUCUCUUGGUCGUAUUUUCUUGUCAUAGGCCGCGAUUAUUCUCUUCUGGUACAUCUGUCCGUGACAAAUUACCUUUAAACGUUUUUCUUCGAUGAGGUUUAACUGGUCAUAUCGAGCUCGAACCCAUUCUGCCUCCUCUAGUUUCGAAUCCAUUAAGACUCAUAAAGAGGGGAUCUCAACUUCGAUAGGUAGCACAGCUUUUAUUCUAUAGACCAGAGAGAAAGAAGUUGCCCCCGUAGAUGUCCGUACAGAUGUGCGAUAUGCAUAUAAAGCAAAUGGUAGCUUCUCGUGCCAAUCUUUUUAUGUCUCAGUCAUUUUCCCAAUAAUCUUCUUAAUAUUCUUGUUGGCUGCUUUAAUAGCUCCGUUCAUUUUCGGGCGAUAGGGUGACAAGUUAUGAUGCUUUAUUUGAAACUGCUCACACACUUGCUUCAUCAUUUUGUUGUUCAGAUUCAAGGCGUUAUCUGAAAUGAUUCUCUCAGGCAAACCAUAUCGACAAAUGAUUUCCUUUUUCAAAAAUCUGCAAACUGCAGUCUUUGUCACAUUGGCAAACGAAGCAGCUUCUAUCCAUUUUGUGAAGUAAUCAAUAACCAAAAAAAUGAACCGAUGUCCAUUAGAAGCUUUUAGGGAAAUUGGCCCCAUAACAUCCAUGCCCCACAUAGAAAAGGGCCACGGAGAAGUCAUGACAUGAAGGGGCGAAGGGGCAACAUGAAUCUUAUCACCAUAAAUUUGACAUUUGUGGCAUUUUCUUGCAAAACUAAUGCAGUCGCUUUCCAUCGUCAGCCAAUAGUAACCGAGUCUCAUAAUCUUCCUGGCCAUAGUGAAACCAUUGGCAUGUGUCCCACAAAUUCCCUCGUGGACAUCUUCAAGUAUUUUUCUAGCUUCAAUAGCAUCUACACAUCUCAAGAGCACUUGAUCUUUUCCUCUUUUGUACAGGAUGUUCCCAUCAAGAACAAAUCCUGCUAUCAUUCUUCUGAUUGUUUGUUUGUCAUUCUCAUUUGCUUGUUCGGGAUACUUUUGGUUCUUGACAUAUUCUAAGAUAUCAUGGAACCAUGACCAUCCAUCUGGCUCUUUUUCAAUGCUGAAACAAUGUGCAGGGACUUCAUAUAUGCUCAUUUGAAGAGGCAUUAUUUUUGUUUCUCUGUUUGCUUUGAACAUUGAAGCCAAAGUGGCCAGGGCAUCAGUCAAUUGAUUUUCUUCUCGUGGGAGGUAAUUAAAAGUUAUUUCUUCGAAUUCUUUAAUCAGCUCUGCCACUAGAUCACUGUAUUUGACUAGUUUCGAAUCUCCCACUUCCCAAUCUCCACGGAUUUGGUAUAUCACCAAGGCUGAGUCUCCGUAUACCUUUAAACUUUUGAUGUUUCAUCCAAUUGCUGCACGAAGUCCCAUGAUACAAGCCUCAUAUUCUGCUAUGUUAUUGGUACAGAAAAGUUCAGCCUGGCAGUGAGUGGGUAAUGAUUUCCUUCUGGUGAUACUAAGACUGCUCCAAUCCCAUGCCCCAAUGCAUUCGAUGCACCAUCAAAACUCAUCUUUCAUGACUUUUCUUUUGAUGACUCACAUUCUUUUUCUAUAAUGCACAUUAAGUCUUCAUCUGGGAAAUCAAAUCUCAAUGGCUUGUAUUCCUCCGUUGUUCGAGUUGCUAAGAAGUCAGCUAUUGCACUCCCUUUUAUCGACUUUUGGCUCACAUAGACGAUAUCAUAUUCUGAUAGUAAGAUCUGCCAUCGUGCCAUUCUUCCUAAGAGUGCAGGUGAUUCCAUCAUGUACUUUAUUGGGUCUUACUUUGAAAUUAGCCAUGUCGUAUAAUACAACAUAUAUUGCUUGAGUCUUCGAGCUACCCAAACCAGAUCGCAACAGCAUUUUUCUAUGGAUGAAUACUUUGCCUCAUAUUCAGUGAACUUUUUGCUGAGGUAGUAGAUCGCCUUUUCUUUCUUUCCGAACUCGUCAUGUUGCCCCAGUACGCAACCUAUUGAAUUCUCGAACACAGUCAAAUACAAUAUCAAUGGUCUUUCCGGCAUUGGUGGUACUAGCACUGGAGGACUAGACAAAUACUGUUUUAUCUUGUUAAAAGCCACUUGGCACUCUUCGUUCCAUUCUCCGGGAUUAUGUUUUCGAAUGAGUCGAAAGAUUGGGUCGCAUUGGUUGGUAAGUUGAGCGAUAAAUCGGGCGAUGUAGUUUAAUCUCCCUAAAAAUCUCUGACUUUCUUUUGCGUACGCGACGGUGGUAACUCUUAAAUGGCUUUUAUUUUAUCUGGAUCAACUUCAAUGCCUCUCUCACUGACAAUGAAGCCAAGCAAUUUUCCUGAGGUAGCCCCAAACGUACAUUUGGCCGAAUUGAGCUUUAGCUGGAACUUUUUCAGUCUGUCGAACAACUUCUUCAGGUUCAUUACAUGCUCUUCUUCCCCUCGGGAUUUAGCAAUCAUAUCAUCGACAUAGACCUCUAUUUCUUUAUGCAUCAUGUCAUGGAAUAACGUCACCAUAGCCCUCUGAUAUGUUGCCCCAGCAUUCUUUAACCCAAAUGGCAUCACCUUGUAGCAGAAUGUUCCCACAUUUUUACGAAGGUAGUUUUCCCAUAUCCUCAGGGGCCAUCUUGAUCUGAUUAUACCCCGAGAAUCCAUCCAUGAAAGAAAGCAAUGAAUGUUUUACUGUGUUAUCCACAAACGUAUCAAUGUGUGGUAAGGGAAAAUUAUCUUUGGGACUUGCUCGAUUCAGGUCACGAUAAUCCACGCACAUUCGUACUUUGCCGUCUUUCUUUGGUACCGGAACUAUGUUGGCCACCCACUCUGGAUAUUUGGAGGUUUGUAGGAAGCCAGCAUCAAAUUGCUUCUUAGCUUCCUCCUUUAUUUUCAACAUCUCAGGUCUCAUCCGUCUUAGCUUUUGUUGAAUUGGUUUGCAUUCUGGCUUCAAUGGGAGCUUAUGGACCACUACAUCUUCAUCUAAUUCUGGUAUAUCCUGAUAUGACCAUACGAAUACAUCUUUGUACUCACGGAGCAAAGCAAUCAAAUUAUUUUUUGUGCCCCUUGAAAUAGAGGUCCCAAUCUUCACUUCUUGCUUCCUUUCUUCAGCUCCCAAGUUUAUUGUUUCAACAAAUUCUUGAUGAGGCAAAAUCUGUUUAUCCUCUUGUUCCACUAUUCUUAGCAAGUCAGGAGACGAGACAAUACUCUUCAGCAUUUUCUUCGGCUUCAAAUUUUCCUAAACAAACAACCUUCUCAAAAUUGAUUUUAGGACUCGUAACGGGUUUGCUCAUGCAAUUGAUAUCUGAGCACCUGAAAAUUGAAUGGAAAAGGAAACUAUAGAGGGGCAUCCAAGUAUUGAAACCAACAAACUAAAUGUUAUGGUAUGGCAUGAGGCAAAUGUAAAGAUAGGCUAUGAAAUGAUUAUGGAAUUAGUGAUAAUGCGAAAAAUCGUGACAAAAUGCAUCUUCAUUAAUAUUCAUUUAAAUGAUAAAGAGCGAAUGCAAGCUCUUACAAAAGAAUUCUAUUAUAUCUAAGGACAUAACAGAAUGUUAACGUUUGAGCAUUACUCUGGAGACUUAUAAACUAUAAGAAGAUCCUCGGCAGUCCAAUUGUUCAACAUAAAACCCGAGGGACAAGGGCGUAUCUUUGAGACGUCUUUAUUCGCAUCAGCUUUUUUGUCAAUGACAUUUAUACUGAUAUUCUGAAAACCCUCUUCGAUCAUUAACACAUUAUGCUUUGUGCACUAUACUGCCCUGGGUAUAUCAUUCCCGCAGACGUAAAUGUUCUUGACAAAUAAGGGAAUUUCAUGGGCUCCCAUUCUGGUUCUCGGCCUAAUGUUCUCGCGAUCCUUCUUUCUUAAUCUUUCUUCCACUGCUUUCUUCUUUGACACAUGUCCGGCUGGAACCCUAAACCGUAUCUAGCCUUGUGGUGUACUGGCUUUAGAGCCCUGACUAUUCCUUGCAGAUAUCUCCCUAAACCUCUUUUCGCUCGAGCUCCCCUUCCUAUAGUCAACUUGACACCCAUUCUGGUAUUUCUCGACAGUUUUGGCACCAAAAUUCUAUUUCCCUCAGCGACAAAAGUGGCAUUGACAAAUUCAAUGGAUCAGAAGGAACAUUCUACUGCGUCUUUGCUUACUUCAAGAUAUGGCGCAUCAGCAGAGAUAGAUGCGAUAAUGUCUUCUCCCUCGACAGUGACCAAACAACCAUCCAUGAUCAACUUUAGUUUUUGAUGGAGAGAGGAUGGAACUGCUCUAGCAGAAUGGAUCCAGGGCCUUCCCUGAAGGCAGUUAUACGAGGGUGUGAUGUCCAUGACUUGGAACUCGACAUUGUAAAUGUAAGGGCCCACUUCUAAAGGGAUAUCAAUCUUUCCCAUGACUUCACGCAUUGUCCCAUUGAAUGCCCUUACCGUGGAAUGACAGGGCCUUAAAUAGGACAGAUCUAUCGGAAUUCUGAAAAGCGUGGCCAAAGGUAUGACAUUAAGUUCUGAGCCAUUAUCGAUAAGCACAUUCAGUAUUAUGUAGCCCUUGCAACGCGUCGUAAAAUGUAGUGCUUUCACAGAGCCUCUACCAUUGGGUGGUAUUUCAUCAUCACUAAAAGAAAUGAAAUUAUCCGCAUUUAAGUUGUUCACCCAUCUGUCCAGCUUCUUCAUGGAUAUAUUGUUUGCCACGUAAGCUUUAUUCAACACCUUCAGCAAAGCGUUCUGGUAUGGCUCCGAAUUUAGUAGCAGAGAUAAAAUCAAGAUUCGUUCUGGCUGCUUAUUCAAUUGUUCCACCACAUUGUAUUCACUGUGUUUGAUAAAUUUCAAGAACUCUUGUGCUUCCUCCUCAUCCACAGGCUUUUUAAUUUCUUGCACGGGUGGAAUUUCUUGCUCGACUUCGGCCUCAUGCAUCACUCUUUCCCUUUUUGCUUCCAGUCACUAUUCUUCUUCACUGGUUCGACCUCUUUCGAAUAACUUCUACUCCGGGUAAAAUGACCUACCUCUCCAACAUCUCCAGUUAUGGCUUUGAGCUUUUCAUCUUCCGGUGUGACGAUAUUGAUGUCAUAUUUCUAUGGUACAGCUUUGUCGUCCUUGUACGGGAAAGGAGACGGUACUUCGAUUAUCAUUUUUAGUUUCACCGACUCUUUCGUCGCAUCGUAAUAAAUUAUUAACGGUCGAUCCGCGCUAUAAGGGAGACCUAAUGACUGGUUGUCAGAAGUGCAUACUUCUCUUUCGUUGGUCUCUUCCCUCUUGUUAAGGACCUUAAUCUCCUUAUUAUCCAUCCGAUCUUGAAGCAACCUUUUAAAUUCCUCACACGACUGAAUGUCGUGUCCUACAAUUCCAUGAAAAUUGCAAAAACUUUGACCUUCUCCGAGGAUUCUAUCGGGGUGACAAAGCAAUCCUUUUUAACCAGUACCUCCCAGAUUUUCUGCAGAGGCGUCCUUAUUUUUAAAACACAUCUUCUGACUUUCCAUUCGUCAUCUUUCCCCACUGUGCUCACAUUCCCUUCAGCAUGGUUAGAGAAUGGGUUCCCAGUUGCGUUACUGGCACUAUCAAACCGUAAUAUACCCGCAUCAAUGAGUCCUUGAACUCUCCUCUUAAAGGCUAGGCAAUUCUCCGUGGAAUGCCCCUGGUUCCUCGCGUGGUAUGCACAACUAGCGUUUGGAUCGUACCACUUUGGGUAUGGAGGUUUAAGGGGUGCCAUGUAAUGGGGAGAAAGUAGCUGUUUCUCCAGAAGUUUUGGGUACAAUUCCCCAUACGACACAGGGAUAAGAGUAAAUUGCAGUCUCUCGGGAUUAGGCCUUGCUGGUCUUAGUUCGUUUCUAGGCUGGCUUUGAGUGGGUACCGUGUUUUGUGGGAAUGUGGUGACGGGUCUUUGGUUGUUCGUGGCGUAUACAGGGUAGGAAGGAGGUGGUGCUUGGUAGUAAGGGGUUUGAGGGGGAUAAUAGAAAUUUGGAGGUGGAUAACUUCAAGGUCGGGGUUGGUUUGGAUAUGGAUUAGGGGCAUAACGACUUCCCAUUCCCACCAUGUGGGCUUCUAGUUCUUUCUUCAUGGGUGCUACCCUUCUUGAACUUUCUUGACCUUCCAUUCUACCGCUCUUGACGGCGUUUUCUAUAAGCUCACCGGAUAUUACAAUAUCCGCGAAGUCCUUCGUAAAGCUUCCCACUAGUUUGUCAUAAAACAGCGUCUUUAAGGUGUUGAUAAAAAGGACGAUUAUCUCCGUUUUCAUUAGUGGGGGUUCCACUUGGGCUGAGAUGUCCCUCCAUCUCUGCGCGUACUGUCUAAAAGUUUCUGGCGACUUUUUCUCCAUCAUUUGUAAAGUCAUCCGAUCAGACACCAUAUCUAAUACAUGCUUGUACUGCUCACAGAAUACCGACGCCAAGUCUUUCCAAGAUCGGAUCCUUUCCUUACUGAGCUGGUUGUACCACCGAAGAGCCGAUCCUACUAGACUGUCUUGAAAACAAUGUACAAGUAGCUUAUCUUCGUUCACGUAACCGGUCAUUUUUCGGUAAAACAUGACAAGAUGUGCUUUUGGACAUCUUGUCCCAUCGUACUUUUCGAAAUCAAGCACCUUGAACUUCGGAGGCAAGAUUAGGUCAGGUACCAAACUAAGUUAUUUAGCACCUAGUACCGAGAAGACUUCAGUGUCUUCUAUUGCCUUGAGUUUUUCUUCCAAAUUCCUAUACUUCUCUUGAGCCUCGUGAUCAUCUAUUUUCAACUUGGCUAUUUCGACUGGAUCAUCUAAAUCUGGAACUACAGGAUUGGCAGGGGUUGUUCCGGGAUUUGACAUAAAUGUUCCUUGCACUAGAUGAGCAAAUGGCAUAGGUCGUUGUUCCAAGCCUUUGGAUUCCCCUUGAGUAUACCCUCUUUGUGCUACGUGGGAAUGUGGUGGAGUGAAUCUUGGAGGAUAGAGUGGAUCCUGGUCAUGAUUAAUUCUUGAUUGAGGUUCCAUACUGUAGGGGUUCUGCAUGGGUCCUUUUCUUUUGACCGAAACUGAUAUCAUCUCCAUCAUUCUAGCCAUUUGAUCAUUUUAUUCAAGUGAUUCCUCCCGAGAUCUUACUAUCAAAUCCCCCGUUUCUUGCUGUGACUUAGCCAAUUGUUCUUGUAAUUCCUUCUGGACUCUUUCCAUCUUUUCGAUCCUUUCAUUGAACUCAGCCUCCAUUGCUCUGGCUUGUCGACGCGUUUUAUACGAAUGGUGUGAUUUCAGAUUUAAAGUGUUGCAACUGCGAAUUAUAUGAUUCUAACCUUAACGAAUGAUUAUGGGAUAUGUAUAUGCAAUGAAUGGAUGAAUUGAUGCAAAAAGAGGCGUUGAUUCCAAUUCAAUUUCAUUAGAACUUCACUAGAAGAAAAAUUUCUUUACAUAGAACAGAUGAUUACAUAUACGACUUCGCCCUAAUGCCCAAAGUCUUUUCUUAAGAAGCCAAGCUAAGCUUCGGCCUCAGUCUGAUUCCGAAUCGUACUUUAAGCUCAAUAUAUCAGCCUGAACUGCCAAGGUUUGCAAGUGAUCAGUUAUCUCUCGAACCUAAGCUAUAGCUUCGCCCAUGACAAAGUCUCUAUCUCUAAUUUGGUUUUAAGAGUGGUGAAACUGUUCUCUGUAAUGGUCAUUGUUUGUCUCAAGAAGUCCCACUCAAAUUUUGCUAUCUUGCAGUGCGGUCUCGAGUUCUUCUAUUUUCCCUUUCAACUCUUCGAUCCUGCUCAGACUAGCCUUUAACUUAAUUAUCGAAUUAUGGCUAUGAUGCUGCUGAAGUAAUCUUUCCAAUUUAGCCACCUGAGCUCGUAACUUCUCUUUUUCAUUUUGGGUUUCUAACAAACUCUUCUUCAGAGUGUCCUCUCGUACUCGGGCAUCUUGAAAUCUUUUCUCCCAAUGGUCGGCUCUAGUCUUUUCCUCUUUAAUCUCUUGACGCCAUUGCUCAGACAUUUUACCUAAUCCGACAAUUUUUAUUGUUAUACGAAGCUUCUUGUAAUCGAUUUUCAGACUAUCUAAAUCUUCCUCGGCCUUGUUCUUUCCUUUCUUUAACUUCUCGGCCUCUAGCUUGUGGAAAUCGACGUCUAACCCCAACUUCAUUUUAUAUUCUUCUAACUACUCUAUCUUCUUCCCCAACUCCGAGUUUUUUUCUUAAAAUCUUGCUUAAUGAUCUCUAACUCAGAUGGGAUGACCCGUAAAUACUCCUCUAUCAGUUGUGUGUUCCCUUGAUUCUGCCUAGGGAUGUUGUCGUUGACUCUCCUACCCUACCACCAUUUAUACUCGGGGGUCGUCAUCGGGCCUGCAGUGAAUCCUUUCAUUCUUCGAGUUUGGUUCCAUGCAUCUAAUAUCUCGCGAACCCUCUUUUUAUAAUUGUUGUCUUUAUAGGGGAACUCACAUUUUGCCAACCCUUGUGUCACCGGUAUAAACUGCCUUGAUACUUCCUUAACACCAUCAAUGGAGCGUAUCCAAUGGCUCCCCAUAUUCCAACCAGAGGGACGCAGUCAAAAUCACCGCACCUAUAUAAGAUCUCGUCAGGAAUAAACCACGGAGCCCUCCAUUCAAUGUCUUCGGUCCGUAAAUUUUAGAGAAUAGUUAUCCACUUCUCUUCGGAGAUGUCGUCCCGCCUCGAUGUGGCCACUAAUUCUCUUAAUGGGGAAUAAUCCUUAGAGAAUACCCGAUAGGAGACCUUUUCCACCUUCUAAAAAUGACUAUGGAACCAAGCCAAAAGAAGCUGUGUGCAACCAAUAAAUCUUCCCUCGCCCGCUCUCCGGCAUGUAUUCAAGGAUCGAAAAGUUUCUGCUAGGAUUGUCAGGACGGGUGUGGUACCUUUAUCAAGUCGAUCGAAUAAAUCUGAGACGGUUUCAUCUAUGUGUCCAAGUGCUUUAGGAAAGACGAUCAAAUCGUAGACUUAAGGCAUAAACAUCAACCCUUUUCUUCGAAUCCGGGUGCGCAAGAAUAAAAUCCCUCAAAUUCCUCCAAUGAAUACAUUUACUAUCCCCUUUUUGCUUGAUGCGGGUCGCAACCCAUUGCUCGCUCAUCCCCGUGAUAUUCAUCAAUUUCUUCAAAAAGGGAGGGACAUUAACAGCUCUUGAAUAGGCCUUAUCGGCCUGAAUCUUUGGGCAAUUAAGUAACACCAUGUUUUCCUCCACCGUAGGUACUAAAUCAACUCCUCCGAAAGUGAAGCAACUGUAAGUGGGGUUCCAAAAUUGCGCGAGGGCCCGAAACAAGUACUUGUCCACCUUUACAUCGAGUAAAUAGGGUAGGCCGUCGUAGUUACAGUAAAAGAGUUGUUUGACUUCGCCAUUCUGACUAUUCCAUAUAUCCCUUAACUCUUGCAGGUCGUUCUGAGUCACACUGAUGCGAGUGAAAUCCCACAACUCCGAUUCAUAUCCCUCGGUCAAACUAUCUCCUUUCUCUUGUUGCGUUCUCUCAGACCACACUCGGACGGCCGCAUUAUCCUCCAUUCUAUCAAGAAAUCAUUUUUCCAUGCUAAACUCUUCUAAUUAGUAACCAAAUGUAAAUCAACACCCUUUUAUGAUGAAAUGUCAUACAAAAAUGAUCAAAAUACAACAAGUUAAUAUUAUAUACAAAGAAUAGAAUUCAAAGCAAAUAGUGAGUAAAUAAGCACCUAAUCAGGUAACCACUAGGGUUUGGUGUGGUUCUACUUAGGCUAGGCUCCUAGGGCUCAUUACAUGUAGUUUGGUUCUAAAGUAAAGGUACCUGAACCAGCAGAUUCCUCGAUCCUCACCCAUUAUAGGUUCAUACAGACCGAGUUCGAUUCAGGGGAAUACAUUUUCCUACGGCUAUACGGAGGUGAAAACCCCAUGAAGACGCAGGUACGGAUGUAUCCCGAAAGCGAUCCACUAUCCUAUACGGAGGUGAAUACCUCACGAAGAAGUAGGUUUUCACUUCCACUUAAGAGGGUGAAAUCAACCAAUAAUGCGAUGCGAUAUGCAAAGAUACCUCAAAGAAUUAAACCACUUAAAGCAAGCAUAUUAUGAAGAGUCGCGAAAAUAACAGACAACAUUCAAUGCAGUAAAUUUAAAAUUGAUUUUCAAUUUUUGACAAAAGAAAAAAAAAUCAAUUUAAGGCUCGACUCUCGAAGUCCCCAGUGGAGUCGUCAAGCUGUCGAAACCAUUCUUUUGAAAACGGAGAUCAGACUUUGUUUGAAAGUGAAAAUUAAAACGGGAGUCGCCACCAAUCUUUUAUCAGGUGUGAUCGGAUCACCUUUGUUUUAAUAAAUCAAUUUUAGUUUACUAAAACAAGGCCUUUGGUAUACGAAACUUGAGAGAAUGAGUUCGGGAGUCGAUUACGUGCGAAGAAGAAUUAGCACCCUCGACACGCCCAAAAAAUUGGUACCGAAUUGAUUAGUUAGUGUCUUAAUAUCGAAAAUUAAAAAUCGGGAAGGGGCUUGAAAUACGAUCUUUUCUAUUAAUACUGAUUUUAAAAUUCUUGAAUUAGCUUAAAUAGAUUUGUUUAAAGAUUUCCUUAUCUCGAGAUAUAGGAGUAUCACAUCCCGUAAGUUAGGACACAAUACCAUGAAUUCCCGAGCACAAGAUUGUCUUUUAAUUUAAAUUGGAAAUCCGUGCAUUUCAAAACUCAAAAGGAUAUUUAGCUAUUUAGAACCAACAAGAGAACCGAAACCCCGUAAGUUAGGGCACAAUUCUUCGAUGUUCCAAAAUGCGAAACAUUUAUCUUAUUUAUUGAAAUUAGUAAAAACAUGAAUAAAAAUCUUUAAAAUAAUGAACAACAGAAUGAUAUAAAAUAGGCGGGAGACAAAAAUAAACGAGUUGGAAAUACAUUGAAACAAAUAAUAAAUAUGACAACAAUAUUAAAACAAUAACAAUGCAUGCGAUAUAUUAAAUGUAAUAAUAGUAUCCAAUGUGAAAUAAAAACAACGAAUAUAUACAUAAUAAAGAUAUUAAGAGUAUGUACGUAAAAUAUAUAUAUAUAUUUAUAAAUAGUAAUAGUGUUAGAAAUAUACUAUAUAUAGUGUUUGAAGUAUAUACAUAAAAUAGUGAAAAUAUAACUAGUAAUGUUAAGAUAUAUAUAAUAUAUACAUAUGUAUGAAAUAGAUAUAAAAAAAAUAUGUACAUAAUAUAGUGUAAAAAAUACAUACAUAAUAUAAUUAAAAUAUAUACAUAAUAUAACAUGUAGAAAAAAAAAUAUAAAUAAUAUAGUAUUAAAGAUAUAUACAUAAAAUAGUAUAAUAUAUAUACGUAAUAUAGAAUUUAGAAUAUACCUAAUAUAUUAAAAGAAUAUAUAUAUAAUAUAAUAUUAAAAAAUAUAAUAAUAACAAAAAAAAGAGGGAGAGAGUGGGUGAUUUCCGACCACCGUCCGGUCACCGAACCGCCGCCGGCCGCUGUCAGUGCCACCGUACAUGGCAGCUGGACCUCAAAAAAACUUUUUCGGUAAAAAUGAGAAACCUUCCUCCUUUUAUUUUUACUUUCGUAUAAAAGAAACAAAAUAAAACUGAAAGGAAAACAAUAAGCAAACAAAGAACUUAAAACGAGAAUAGACCAAGAAACCUCUUUUGCUUUGAUAUUUGAUUAAUCUCCAAAAAAAAACUAGUCUCUCCAAAAACUAGCCUUUACAAUAACUCUUCUUCUUGAUAACUCUAAAAAAAACCUCUUAAAAAUCCUUUACAAUAACUUUCUCCCUCAAAACUUCUUCCCCUAAAUACAAAAUAUGAGAAGGCUUAUAUAGCCAUUUACCAAAUAUUUUUUAUUGUUUAUGUCCUCAUUUGUAGUUACAAGUGGUGGUAAAGCAAGUGUGGCUAAUGGAGUAGGUGGUGGAGCAAGUGUGGGUAGUGAAAUAGGUGGUAGAGCAAGUGUGGCUAGUGGAGUUGGUGGUGGCAAAAGAUAGGAUUUAGUUGAGAAAAAUUUAG
RNAcentral lists this long non-coding RNA (15197 nucleotides) under Gossypium barbadense (sea-island cotton). Its description in RNAcentral is "long non-coding RNA (GBAR_LNC000880)". The record is from RNAcentral. Lineage: Eukaryota; Viridiplantae; Streptophyta; Magnoliopsida; Malvales; Malvaceae.